This is a long non-coding RNA of Labeo rohita (rohu), 1172 nucleotides long. RefSeq lists it as uncharacterized. The transcript has 4 exons. Lineage: Eukaryota; Metazoa; Chordata; Actinopteri; Cypriniformes; Cyprinidae. The record is from RefSeq and is a predicted model, not a curated record.
GGAACGACACUCGAUUGAACUACCUGCAGGGUCCUAUAAUAACACCAUCCGCUUUAAAACAAAACUGUUAUGUUUAAGGGUUUGUUUUGCUCAAUAAUAAACAACUUUUCCUUUGGAGUUCGGGUAAAUAUAUCCCCAGCGGGAGAUACUUUGUAACAGUUGUGUGCGUUCUAAAGAGAUAUUUUGUAACCGAUACAUAUUUUCCUGCUGACGUCACAGAGAGUGAGGAGAUACUUUGUAACAAUUCGCGGAUAUUUAGUAACCGCCUCGCAGACGCUUUAAAUCUGUUCUACGAGGGGAAAUAAGCAAAGAAAUCAGGAAUGAAAGUCCGAAAUGCACAUGUAGUCCCAGGGCUUCCUCUUGAAGAAGCUUGACACCGCCUGUGCUGAAGCUCUGGACGAAUUCGCAGCGGUUUUUACCACACAAUAGUGUCCAGAUUGUCUCACUAUGGCUGUUUAUGUCGAAUCAUAAACUCGGCAGUGGAACAAGACUCCUCUCUUACACGAAAUAUGUGUGUAUUUUUUCUUCUUUUCCCUCCUCCUGUUCCUCCAUUGCUUGUUGGCGCAACAGCGUUUCAUUUGAACAGUCUCCCGUGCGCAUAUUGUGAAAUAUCAUCUUUAUUUACCUUCCCCCUAGUUUGUCUGGGCGCAUACGAACGUUUAUAGACCGUUAGUGUGCAAUAUACAGAUAUAUCUCCACAUAAUCCCACACUAUCAAUGGGCUGUGUCCGAGCAGUUCAGACUCUUCAGCAGAGGAAAAUCACUUUCAAAAGCUCCUUACCUUCUUCCACAAGAGAGCUACCAGCCAGGGCGCUUCAAGUGACGUAACGAACCGGGAUACGCGCUCCCGACACUGGCCUCCAUGACCGUCGUGACGUGCACGAGCACUUCUGCACUUCUUAUGCGAGGUGGCACCACGUAGAGGAUGAUGUGCUGGUUAUGUACAUUGGGAUUCAAGUACAGUUUAGACUACUGCUUAGGAUAGAGACCUGUCUUCUGCACUCCAAAAGCGGUGAUGAAGAUGUUGAUGAUGACGGUUUUGUGCAUAAUGCACGAUGGAUUUCACUCUCACCCAUGUGGACAAAGAGAGCCCCCGCGACCACUUGGAAGAAGAGAGACGCGGCGAUGAGGACGAUGACGGUGAGGUAGUACUUAAACUCUGGGCCCUGCUCC